Molecule: ribosomal RNA, 155 nt
Filed under: uncultured Polynucleobacter sp.
Lineage: Bacteria; Pseudomonadati; Pseudomonadota; Betaproteobacteria; Burkholderiales; Burkholderiaceae
Description: partial 16S ribosomal RNA
Rfam family: Bacterial small subunit ribosomal RNA
Source: RNAcentral
ACUCUGAUCCAGCGAUGCCGCGUGAGUGAAGAAGGCCUUCGGGUUGUAAAGCUCUUUUGUCAGGGAAGAAACACCGGCUCUAACACAGUCCGGGAAUGACGGUACCUGAAGAAUAAGCACCGGCUAACUACGUGCCAGCAGCCGCGGUAAUACAA